Molecule: ribosomal RNA, 284 nt
Filed under: uncultured soil bacterium
Lineage: Bacteria
Description: partial 16S ribosomal RNA
Rfam family: Bacterial small subunit ribosomal RNA
Source: RNAcentral
AGAACGAACGCUGGCGGCAUGCCUAAUACAUGCAAGUCGAACGAACUCUUCGGAGUUAGUGGCGCACGGGUGCGUAACGCGUGGGAAUCUGCCCCUUGGUUCGGAAUAACAGUUGGAAACGACUGCGUAAUACCGGAUGAUGACGAAAGUCCAAAGAUUUAUCGCCAAGGGAUGAGCCCGCGUAGGAUUAGCUAGUUGGUGAGGUAAAGGCUCACCAAGGCAACGAUCCUUAGCUGGUCUGAGAGGAUGAUCAGCCACACUGGGACUGAGACACGGCCCAGACU